This 439-nucleotide ribosomal RNA is filed under the name uncultured bacterium. RNAcentral describes it as "partial 16S ribosomal RNA". It matches the Rfam family "Bacterial small subunit ribosomal RNA", at positions 339 to 795 of the family's 1533-position model. The record is from RNAcentral.
CUACGGGGGGCUCCAGUGAGGAAUAUUGCACAAUGGGGGGAACCCUGAUGCAGCAACGCCGCGUGGAGGAUGACGCAUUUCGGUGUGUAAACUCCUUUUAUAUGUCAAGAAAAUGACGGUAGCAUAUGAAUAAGCACCGGCUAACUCCGUGCCAGCAGCCGCGGUAAUACGGAGGGUGCAAGCGUUACUCGGAAUCACUGGGCGUAAAGGACGCGUAGGCGGGUUGGAAAGUCAGGUGUGAAAUCCUACAGCUUAACUGUAGAACUGCACUUGAAACUUCUAAUCUAGAGUAUGGGAGGGGGAGAUGGAAUUAGUGGUGUAGGGGUAAAAUCCGUAGAUAUCACUAGGAAUACCUAAAGCGAAGGCGAUCUCCUGGAACAUUACCGACGCUAAGGAGUGAAAGCGUGGGGAGCAAACAGGAUUAGAUACCCGGGUAGUC